Molecule: small RNA, 1159 nt
Filed under: Pan troglodytes (chimpanzee)
Lineage: Eukaryota; Metazoa; Chordata; Mammalia; Primates; Hominidae
Description: processed transcript
Source: RNAcentral
CUCCAUUACCACAGUGAAUCAACUGGUCACAUCAAGGAGGGCCUGGAGCUGGGCAUUAGUGCUGGUGCAGAGAGGCUAAAUCAUCCUCAACUCUAUGCACAAGUACCAGCCACGGCUCCACAUCGUUAAGGCUGAUGAGAACAAUGCUUUCGGCUCCAAAAACACUGCUUUCUGCACCCACGUGUUCCCAGAGACCUCCUUCAUCUCUGUGACCUCCUACCAGAAUCACAAGAUCACCCAGCUGAAAAUUGAGAACAACCCUUUUGCCAAGGGAUUCCGGGGCAGUGAUGACAGUGACCUGCGUGUGGCCCGACUGCAGAGCAAAGAAUACCCCGUGAUUUCCAAAAGCAUCAUGAGGCAGAGGCUCAUCUCCCCCCAGCUCUCAGCCACACCAGAUGUGGGCCCCCUGCUCGGCACCCACCAGGCACUCCAGCACUACCAGCACGAGAACGGGGCACACUCACAGCUCGCGGAGCCGCAGGACCUGCCCCUCAGCACCUUUCCCACCCAGAGGGACUCAAGCCUCUUCUAUCACUGCCUGAAAAGACGAGGUUGUCUACGGCUGCUUUCAUGGUACAACAGCAGAGUUUCGUAGUUGCAACAGAUACCCUGCGGCCCACAAAGCCUAAGAUAUUUACUAUCUGGUCCUUUGCAGAAAGUUUGCCCAGUCUUGACCUAGAGCUGGAGUGCAAUGGUGCAAUCUGGGCUCACUGCAACCUCUGCCUCCCGAAUUCAAGUGAUUCUCCUGCCUCAGCCUCCCCAGUAGCUGAGAUUACAGCAGACGGUACCCGCCACCUGGACUUACCUUGCAAGCGAUCCUAUCUGGAAGCCCCCUCUUCGGUGGGGGAGGAUCACUAUUUCUGUUCCCCCCCUCCCUACGACCAGCAAAUGCUGAGCCCCUCCUACUGCAGUGAGGUGACCCCCAGAGAAGCAUUGUCGCCGUACACCAGCUAUAGCGUGCAGACGAUGGAGACUGUGCCGUACCAGCCCUUCCCCACGCACUUCACCGCCACCACCAUGAUGCCGCGGCUGCCCACCCUCUCCGCUCAGAGCUCCCAGCCACCAGGAAAUGCCCACUUCAGUGUCUACAAUCAGCUCUCCCAGUCUCAGGUCCGAGAGCGGGGGCCCAGCACCUCAUUCCCAAGAGAGCGCGGCCUCC